Molecule: long non-coding RNA, 658 nt
Filed under: Citrus maxima (pomelo)
Lineage: Eukaryota; Viridiplantae; Streptophyta; Magnoliopsida; Sapindales; Rutaceae
Description: long non-coding RNA (CMAX_LNC004156)
Source: RNAcentral
AAGGCACUGGUGUUGAACUUGCAACUUUUUUCCAUCACUGAUUGCUUCAAUGUCAAAAUAGGAAUAAUAUUUAAAUCAAACAGAAGAAAUUGAUUAAAGAAUAUAACAAAACAAUGAAGCAAAAGUGCAAAACAAGACCCAAAUUUUGUGAUUGUCGGCUUGUCAUCAUCAAACAAAAGCUAAACUAAUAGCAAAAUAGAACACAAAUGGCGACAGGGAAUGAAAAUCCAGUAAAUUUAUACAAUUGGUGAUUGCUUCGUCUACGUCCAUGAAUCCCAAUUCAUCACUUCGUGUGCGUGAUAUUCUGCCGCCAGCCGUGACCGUGAAUGAGUUUAGGAGCUGCUGAGAAUUCAAGCCUUUGAUGAUGAUUGAUAACGAUUUGAUGAUGAAGAUGAUUGAUGACGAUUUGAUGAUGAUGAUUUAAAUUGGUGAGUUUGGGAGAUGAAAAGGAGAGGAAAUGGUGGUGGUUGUGAAUUAAUGAAUUUUUGGGAGAUGAAAAAGAGAUGAAAUCGUGGCGGAUUUGAUGGUGAUGAUUUAAAUUGGUGAGUUGGGGAGAUGAAAAGGAGAGGAAAUGGUGGUGGCUGUGAAUUGAUGAAUUUGGGAGAUGAAAAAGAAAUGAAAUGGUGGCGGCCAUGUUGAGUUAAAAGCCAAAAGUGCA